RNAcentral lists this long non-coding RNA (362 nucleotides) under Canis lupus familiaris (dog). RNAcentral describes it as "lncRNA (ENSCAFG00000033872.3, ENSCAFG00845013127.1)". Lineage: Eukaryota; Metazoa; Chordata; Mammalia; Carnivora; Canidae. The record is from RNAcentral.
CAGUAACUGAACAAUCCUCUUAUUUCUUUGAUUUAAGGAUGGUAUUUGAAGCAAGAAGGUUCUUUGGGAAACUUUAAGGUAUGAGCCUGGCAAAGGAGGAGGCUGGCCUCGGAAAAUAAGAGCAUGCCUAUUCCAGAAAACCAAGACAGUGCACUCAUCAUGUACCUUGCCGGCUCUCCGUGACCUGUGCAUAUGUGCGCACAUCCCCACAGGCAACAGCCCUGAGAACAAUUGUCUUGGAGGAGGGAGGAAGAGACGAGGCUGAACACUGCCGUGCAGGGAAGGGAGCCAUUUUUAAAGCCCUUCUGAAAUGUUCACUUGUACACUCAAGAUCCCAAUUGUUGUGGAGCUUCAAGCAGGUG